UGGGGAAUUUUGCACAAUGGGGGAAACCCUGAUGCAGCGACGCCGCGUGAUUUAGAAGGCCUUCGGGUUGUAAAAAUCUUUUCUAUGGGAAGAAAAUGACAGUACCAUAGGAAUAAGGACCGGCUAAUUACGUGCCAGCAGCCGCGGUCAUACGUAAGGUCCGAGCGUUGUCCGGAAUCAUUCGGCGUAAAGGGUACGUAGGCGGGUAAGCAAGUUAGGAGUGAAAUCCUAUAGCUCAAUUAUAGUAAGCUUUUAAAACUGCUCAUCUUGAGGUAUGGAAGGGAAAGUGGAAUUCCUAAUGUAGCGGUGAAAUACGCAGAUAUUAGGAGGAAUACCGAUGGCGAAGGCGGCUUUCUGGCCCUAACCUGACGCUGAGGUACGAAAGCGUGGGUAGCAAACAGG
Molecule: ribosomal RNA, 402 nt
Filed under: bacterium
Lineage: Bacteria
Description: partial 16S ribosomal RNA
Rfam family: Bacterial small subunit ribosomal RNA
Source: RNAcentral